This 125-nucleotide non-coding RNA is filed under the name Felis catus (domestic cat). Its description in RNAcentral is "Eukaryotic large subunit ribosomal RNA". It matches the Rfam family "Eukaryotic large subunit ribosomal RNA", at positions 2196 to 2323 of the family's 3401-position model. The record is from Rfam by way of RNAcentral. Lineage: Eukaryota; Metazoa; Chordata; Mammalia; Carnivora; Felidae.
UCCAGAUCUUUACAAGAAUCAUCCCCACAUUUGGAAGCCUUACAAAUGUAAAUUUCGGGAGUAAAUAUGACUCUCUUAAGGUAGCCAAAUGCCUCAUCACCUAAUUUGUGACAUGCAUGAAUGGA